This is a non-coding RNA of Phrynosoma platyrhinos (Desert horned lizard), 72 nucleotides long. NCBI's taxonomy places the organism in Eukaryota, Metazoa, Chordata, Lepidosauria, Squamata, Phrynosomatidae. The record is from the annotation of a GenBank genome assembly.
GCCAUCGUGGCAUAGUGGUUUGAGUGUUGGAUUACAACUUUAGAGACCAGUGUUCAAUUCCCAGCUCAGCCA